UCGCCGGUUUCUGGAAAAAUUCCGGCCACCUCGACUGUUUUAGGUGAUUGACGGUCUUCCUUGGGUGAGCGGUUUCGGUGUGUAUUGUGUUAAAUUGAAGACGCAGCGGGAAUAUCGAGCGGGUAAUCCUGCAGGUCAGGAGAAUCAGGGCGGUGAUCGUGCGGGUUAGAGUAUUUGUUAUAGUUUUACAGCAAUUGUAAUAGUGAGGUGAGUUAAGCUCAUUUGAGCCUUACAAUUUGAUUUGGUGAGAGUGUGCUGUAAUAAAUAACUUGAGAAUUUGGUUUAUUGUAUUAUUGAGAGGUGUGAAGUGUGGUUGUUUGUGAGAAAAAAAUUCAGGACGUUUAUUUGUAAUUGUUAUUAUUCAUGUUUCGGACUUUGAAUUGAUUAUUCAAAA
Molecule: long non-coding RNA, 394 nt
Organism: Rosa rugosa (rugosa rose)
Lineage: Eukaryota; Viridiplantae; Streptophyta; Magnoliopsida; Rosales; Rosaceae
Exons: 3
Source: RefSeq, a predicted model, not a curated record